CAGCCGCCGCGGGAAUACGUAGGGUCCGAGCGUUGUCCGGAAUUAUUGGGCGUAAAGGGCUCGUAGGCGGUUUGUUGCGUCGGGAGUGAAAACCUACAGCUUAACUGUGGGCUUGCUUUCGAUACGGGCAGACUUGAGGCAUUCAGGGGAGAACGGAAUUCCUGGUGUAGCGGUGAAAUGCGCAGAUAUCAGGAGGAACACCGGUGGCGAAGGCGGUUCUCUGGGAAUGUUCUGACGCUGAGGAGCGAAAGUGUGGGGAGCGAACAGGAUUAGAUACCCGAGUAGUCCCUGUCUCUUAUAC
This 301-nucleotide ribosomal RNA is filed under the name uncultured bacterium. Its description in RNAcentral is "partial 16S ribosomal RNA". It matches the Rfam family "Bacterial small subunit ribosomal RNA", at positions 509 to 807 of the family's 1533-position model. The record is from RNAcentral.